GAUGAACGCUAGCUACAGGCUUAACACAUGCAAGUCGAGGGGUAGCAGGGAUUAGCAAUAAUCCGCUGACGACCGGCGCACGGGUGAGUAACACGUAUCCAAUCUGCCUAUUACUCGGGGAUAGCCUUUUGAAAGAAAGAUUAAUACCCGAUGGUAUAAUAAAACUGCAUGGUUUUAUUAUUAAAGAAUUUCGGUAAUAGAUGAGGAUGCGUUCCAUUAGAUUGUUGGUGAGGUAACGGCUCACCAAGUCUUCGAUGGAUAGGGGUUCUGAGAGGAAGGUCCACCACACUGAUACUGAGACACGUACCAGACUCCUACGGGAGGCAGCAGUGAGGAAUAUUGGUCAAUAGUCGGAAGACUGAACCAGCCAAGUCGCGUGAGGGAAGACAGCCCUAUGGGUUUUAAACCUCUUUUGUAAUGGAAGAAUAAGUCUUACGUGUAGGACGAUGCCAGUACAUUACGAAUAAGCAUCGGCUAACUCCGUGCCAGCAGCCGC
This 496-nucleotide ribosomal RNA is filed under the name uncultured bacterium. Its description in RNAcentral is "bacterial SSU rRNA". It matches the Rfam family "Bacterial small subunit ribosomal RNA", at positions 28 to 518 of the family's 1533-position model. The record is from RNAcentral.